ACGGUGAAUGCAUGUACGCCCUGUAUUAACAAUGUAUAUGAUAAAAUAUGUUAGUUCGCAGGUCUUAAACUAAUUAAACUAAUCUGAGUGGCAUCUAAUUAAAAAAAGCAGCUAUCAACGUUGGCUCGCGAUCGGGUUUGAAAAUAUCAAACGGCUGGUCUAUUUGUCAGAAAAAAAUUUCGAUUGUAACAUCGUUUAUCUGUAACCGUCCAUCAUCGAAGAUAUUUAGAAAUUGUGGCGUUGAGAGAAGGGGAGAAUAUGCCUUGCUAGGCUGGAGCUAGAUAUUGCGAAAGAGAGGGGGAGAGAGAGAGAGAGAGAGAGAAAGAGAAAGUUCGGAGAUAAACAGUUGCUGAUUACUAACUGCGUACACGUGUUAUGAUCCGGACAGGCCGAGUCAUUCGAGAUUGUUUUGUAUGAUUGAUCUCUCAGUUGGAGAGCGCGCUCGAAUCUCUACGUGAUUGUAUUUACUUCAACGUCGUGAUGCGGAUACAUUUGUCAACUGUCAACCGUUAGAUGAACGCAGACCGCCGCGCGGGAAAGACAGCCAGGGAGAACCGAGAGGUCGUCGUCUGACGGAUGGAAAUGGCAGCGGAGCUCGACGGCGAGCAGUCACACCCGCAGUGCAUCGAAUUACCCCCCACCGUCGAAGUGUUCGCCAAUUUGAGGAACGCGCAAACGUUCGCGAUCGACAUCGGUUUGUCGCUUACCAAAAUUGCGUAUUACUCGACGAUAAGUUAUCGCAAGGCGCUUUAUGAAAAUGCAGGCUUGGGAAAUAGUGGGGAACGAGCGUACAAAGUAUUCGAGGGUAAUAGACUGCAUUUUGUUAAGUUUGAAACGAGAUAUAUCGAGAACUGCCUAGAUUUUGUCAAGGAGAAUUUAGUGGACGCUGACCGGUUUCAUGGCAAAAGUAUUAAAAUAACCGGAGGAGGGGCAUUUAAAUAUACUCCAUUGCUGCAAGAAAAAUUAGGAUUGUUAGUCGACAAAGAAGAUGAGAUUGAUUGCCUUAUAAAAGGUUGCAACUUUUUACUGAAAAACAUACCCUCCGAAGCCUUUGAAUAUGAGCGACACGCAAAUCCAGAAUAUAACUUUCAAAAAGCCACCCCUAAUAUAUUUCCAUAUCUGCUGGUUAAUAUUGGCAGUGGUGUCAGUAUUCUUAAAGUAGAAUCCGAUGAGGUAUUUGAAAGAGUUGGGGGUACAGCUACAGGAGGUGGUACAUUUUGGGGGCUGGGAUCUUUGCUCACAAAGAGAAAGGGCUUUGACGAAUUGCUGCAACUUGCAGAACAGGGAGAUCACCGUAAUGUAGACAUGUUAGUGAAAGAUAUUUAUGGAGGUGAUUAUUCCUCUCAAGGUUUACCCGGAGACCUUAUUGCGUCAUCUUUCGGCAAGGCAGUGUCUUGUGGACCGCCAACAUUUUCCGAGGCUGACCUCGUGAGGAGUUUGUUGUUCACCAUUAGCAAUGAUAUUGGCCAAAUAGCUAGUCUAUACGCCACCGUGUACAAUAUGGAUAAGGUUUACUUCGGUGGUUAUUUCCUUCGUAACCAUCCACUAUCAAUGCACACCAUUUCAUAUUCCAUCAAAUAUUGGUCUCACGGUAAGGUAAAGCCUCUCUUUCUUCGCCAUGAAGGUUACCUUGGCGCGAUUGGGGCGUUUUUAUACGGCACUGAACAAUCAGAUAAAUGCAGCUGGUUGGAAAACUACGCUGGGUCGUCGGGUUUUAAGGAUUCCGUGUCGAGUGACCUCGGAAUUAAGGUUGAUCAAUUGGAAAUUGAUCAAGCGGAAAAUGCUGUCACAUUUUGUCCCCUGUUGAAAGACCCCGCAACCUAUAACCCUGAUACUACAGACCUCGCUCAAGAUAAAGAAGCCAGGGAUUAUUGGCUGCAGUGUUUCGAGGAAUCCGUUGAUAAAUUCGUGGCGCGAGCUAUUCAUAGUCAACCACACAGUCCAACCGCGAAAGACAGAGCGUCGAAACUCAAAGAGAAAUAUAUUAAUAGGUUACACUACCUCCAUGCGCAGCCAUUUGCAUAUGGAACGCUUACUGUUAGAAUAUUAUUAGAUACCAUUGAACAUUGCAUGAAAGAGUUUGACUUUCCAGAUCCAUAUUUACAUCAAAAGAAAAAAGAGAAUGAAGAAGCACUGAGACAUCUGCAGGAUCGCAUCACGGCUCUGGAUAAGUUAGAAGGUGCGGAAAAGAUAAAAGAUUUAAUCCUGGGCGUUCUCAGUGGCAAUAUAUUUGAUUGGGGUGCGAAGGACGUCGCGCAACUGUUGGAAACCACUGACUUCGGCUUCGAAGAAGCUCAGGCGAGAAUUCCAGGUAGACCGUGGCUGCAGGACAAUCUGGACAGUUGGAUAAACAGAUUACAAAACGGACCACCUCACAAGUGCGCGGCCAUUUUCGUCGACAACAGCGGCGUGGAUAUCGUUCUCGGAAUCUUGCCAUUCGCGCGUGAUCUGUUACAACGAGGAACGAAAGUAAUAUUGUGCGCUAAUUCAAUGCCGGCCUUGAAUGACGUGACGUAUCCCGAAUUGGUCGUAACGCUGCGGGACGCCGCAAAAAUUUGCGACGUUAUCAAACGUGCUUUGGAAAACAGUACACUUAUCGCCAUGGAAACCGCGCAAGCUGGUCCUUGCCUGGAUCUGAGUCGUCUGAGUUUGGAUCUGUGUCUUGCGAUGGUGAAGCAUAACGUGGAUCUUAUAGUUAUCGAAGGAAUGGGUAGAACUUUGCACACGAAUCUUCAUGCCAAAAUGAAGUGCGAAUGCCUGAAAUUGGCGGUUAUUAAAAAUCGGUGGCUAGCUCGUCGCUUAGGUGGCGAUAUGUACGCUGUGAUAUGCAAAUACGAGGAACCACUACCGAGAGCGAACAUUAGCGAUAUCGACUUAAAGUCGGGGACAAUGGGAAAGGAUUGUCCGGCGGAAUGUACAAGACAGGCGACAGAGCUUUGCGUGCGCGACGGUUCUAACUGAACGAGCAGUAAAACACAUUGAUAUAAGAUUAUCUGUAGAGCAGAUUAAUUAAAUAUACAACACAUUGCCUUCCUAAAACUAAAAUCAAUGACGAGGUCAUGUGCACAUACGCUUAAAUUAUAGGAAUGGAGAUCGAUCGAUCUGCCGCGAGUUGUAGGAAAAAUUCGCAUUGUAUUGUGUACGAUACGAUAUUUUCUGUGAUACUACCGAUGUACGAUACGCAAUAAAGAUACAUACAAUGCCGUGAGUGAAUAUCGCAAACUAAGGAAGGCCGCGAUUCGCAAGCUGUAAUAUCCAAAUAAGGGCAAAUCCGACACGUGUAAUGCAUUUUAGCCGCAUCGAGGUACCUCACUCGAAAUUCACCCAUCACGACGAAGAACACGAGAGAAGGAAAUUGUAUAUUUUUAUCUUAUUCGAUAAAUAAAUGGAGAAACGAGAAAGCAAAAGAGAAGCGCUGGUUGAGUACAUUUUCGCCCCGGGAAGGGAGGAGAGGGGUAGCGUCUGGCGAAAAGAAACAGAGAAGAAGGAAGUCCGGAAAUCCGGCAUAUGGCGCCGGAUUCGAUAGCUUUCGCUUUAUCCCGGAGCUUUAUGCGCGUGAUCGGAAAAUAAGCGGAGCGCCGAGGUAGUCGCCAGACAGAGGAGAGGAAUUGGGAACUGCAACGGGGAUCGGCUGAUAGAGGAGUGGAGGGAAGAGGGUGCUGUGCAUGCUGGACACGCUCCACGUCCAUUUCUUUCAGCCACGCUCUACGCAGUGUCCAAGUCGGAGCUUUAUUAAAUUCCCGUUCCACGAUAUUGUCCAGUCUGGAGUAGCAGACUGGCGCGCACAAGCUGGCUCAAACAAUUAUCUCCCAAUUUGUGCCGACGCGAUAAUCGAUAUCUCCUCGAAUAUCGCCUCGGAUAUCUCCCCGAUAUCGGUGCGCACUGUAUGCCAUCAAUCUUACACAGUCCUGUCCUAUCUGAUAUUUAUUAGGGGAUACUCAUAAGUAAUAAAAUAUUUAUUCUUCUUCUUAUCAGUAACUACUCUUGAUCCGCGCUAUAAAUAAUAUUUUUUUAGUAUACUAUUUGGAUAAAGCUUUCGAUUAGUUACAUCGUUGUUCUCAAAAUAAAAGGCUCCGUCUGUUGAAAUAUGUCUUAUUUUGAAGUGCUCGAUCACUUACA
Molecule: RNA transcript, 4119 nt
Organism: Dinoponera quadriceps
Lineage: Eukaryota; Metazoa; Arthropoda; Insecta; Hymenoptera; Formicidae
Gene name: pantothenate kinase 4
Exons: 14
Source: RefSeq, a predicted model, not a curated record